RNAcentral lists this ribosomal RNA (796 nucleotides) under Lyophyllum cf. maas-geesterani LIP PAM06082615. RNAcentral describes it as "eukaryotic LSU rRNA". The stretch from base 316 to 469 matches the Rfam family "5.8S ribosomal RNA". Lineage: Eukaryota; Fungi; Basidiomycota; Agaricomycetes; Agaricales; Lyophyllaceae. The record is from RNAcentral.
UUGGUCAUUUAGAGGAAGUAAAAGUCGUAACAAGGUUUCCGUAGGUGAACCUGCGGAAGGAUCAUUAUUGAAAUAAACUUGGUUGGGUUGUUGCUGGCUCUUCGGAGUAUGUGCACGCCUAGCACCAAUUUAUUAACCCCCUGUGCACUUUUUGUAGACCAUAAGAAUAUAUUUCUUCGAGUAUAACAACUCGGUGUGAGGAUUGCUGUGUGAAAAUACGGCUUUUCUUGUGUAUUCCUUUGGUCUACGUUUUAAUAUACCUCAUACAAGUAACAGAAUGAAAUGUAUUGGCCUUUGUGCCUUUAAUUUAAAUACAACUUUCAACAACGGAUCUCUUGGCUCUCGCAUCGAUGAAGAACGCAGCGAAAUGCGAUAAGUAAUGUGAAUUGCAGAAUUCAGUGAAUCAUCGAAUCUUUGAACGCACCUUGCGCUCCUUGGUAUUCCGAGGAGCAUGCCUGUUUGAGUGUCAUUAAAUCAUCAAACCUAUUAGCUUUUGCUGAUAUGGCUUUGGAAAUGGGGGUUUGCAGGCUUCACAAAGUCAGCUCCUCUUAAACAUAUUAGUAAAACCUAUUGUUAGGUCAUCCCUGGUGUGAUAAUUAUCUACGCCAAUGACUCGACUUUAAAAGGAUUUGCUUCUAACCGUCUUUUUACAAGGACAAUCAUUGACAAUUUGACCUCAAAUCAGGUAGGACUACCCGCUGAACUUAAGCAUAUCAAUAAGCGGAGGAAAAGAAACUAACAAGGAUUCCCCUAGUAACUGCGAGUGAAGCGGGAAAAGCUCAAAUUUAAAAUCUGG